CCAAGAGAGAGAGAGAGAAACACCUUCCUCAUCCUUUCCUCAGUCUCGGCCAACUACCAACGAACCAACCAAAUCCAAUCCCACGGACAUCCCGAGGCCCACGCGUCCAUCCCAUCACCCCGCACGGAAUCCGACCCGAAAUAUCCACCGGAACCGCCGCCAUGCGGCUGAUAGUGCCACUCCAAGGCGUGGUCCAAGGCCGAGGAGGCCUCAUCUGGGGCUCUCUCAUCCCCUGCGCCCUCUUCUACUUCCUCCAGCUCUACCUCAAACGACGCCGUCCUCCUUCUCCCUCCUCCAACCCUCCGUCGCCGUCGCAGUCCUUCUCCGACCUCCAGAGGUCCUCCUCGCGCUCCAACUUGUCCACCCGCGGCUCCAUUGGCCGCGUCCGGAUUUCUUCCCGCGCCUCCUCCAUCGCCAAACCCAACGACUCGCCGUAUUACGUUGGUCUGGAUAAGGCUAAGCUGGAUCCGUACGAUCGGUUCGGUAACCCUAAUGGAGUUAUUCAUCUCGGUUUGGCCGAGAACAGGCUGUGUUUUGACCUUAUUGAGAAAUGGAUUUCUGAGAAUUUGAGCAAUUUGGUAAUGGGAAUCAACGGUGGGGAUUUGAAUAUCAGCGGCAUUGCUGGAUACCAGCCGUUCGAUGGAUUGAUUGAACUAAGAGUGGCUAUUGCAGAUUUCAUGUCUCGGGUUACGCGAAGAUCGGUCACGUUCGACCCGUCGCAGAUUGUAUUGAUGGCUGGUGCAACUCCUGCAAUUGAGAUGUUAAGCUUCUGCGUGGCAGACAGUGGAAAUGCACUUCUUGUUCCCACACCUUACUAUCCUGGUUUUGACAGGGAUAUUAGAUGGCGAACUGGUGUGGAGCUAAUUCCUGUCCACUGUCGUAGCACUGACAACUUCGCUUUGAACAUGACCGUGCUUGAUCAAGCAUUCAAUCAGGCAAGAAAGCGAGUAAAAGUUCGCGGAGUACUUAUUUCUAACCCUACAAAUCCUGUUGGUAAUGUGUUGCCACGGGAAACACUGUGUAGUGUUUUAGAUUUUGCCCAGGAGAAGAACAUACAUGUCAUAUGUGACGAAAUCUUUGCGGGGUCUGUGCAUGGACAUGAGGGUUUUGUGAGUAUUGCAGAAGUUAUUGAGAUUGAGAAUUUUGACAAGAGUAGGGUUCACAUAGUGUACGGGCUGUCAAAAGACCUAUCAAUUCCAGGAUUUAGAGUUGGUGUUCUUUAUUCCUAUAAUGAGAGUGUCUUGGCUGCAGCUAGAAGGUUAACAAGAUUUACAUCUAUUUCUGCUCUGGCUCAGCGUCUUUUGGUAUCGAUGCUUUCUGAUGCGAAAUUCAUUGAGGAAUACAUGGAAAUCAACAAACAAAGGAUGCGAAAUAUGUAUGAUUUAUUUGUGGAAGGCUUGGAAUUGGUAGGAAUCAGAUGCGCAAAGAGUAGUGCUGGUUUUUAUUGUUGGGCUGAUAUGAGUGAAUUGAUUUCAUCGUACAGUGAGAAAGGGGAACUUGAGUUAUGGGAUAAGCUCCUGAAUGUUUCUAAGAUCAAUGUAACUCCUGGGUCAGCUUGCCACUGCAUAGAACCAGGGUGGUUCCGGUGUUGUUUUACUAUGAUGACUCAAGAGGAUAUUCCUGUAGUUAUAGCUCGGAUUCGAAGAAUUGCUGAAACUAGUAAAUCUCACAGUUGAAGACUUGAAGUACUCGGUUCUUCAAUUUUAUCGGGUUCAAUCCUUUUGCUUGCGGCGUUGUUUUGUGCCUAAGAUUUGGGUGGCAAAUCUACCUAUUUGUAAGGGUAACAAGCUUGGACACCAGGUAGCUCAACUUGGUCCCAAGUUUCCAAGGCCAAUGUGGCCUUCAUUCAAGUGACACACUUUUGAACACAUUUCAAACAUUUUUGACUUCAUCUACAUCAAGUCCGAGUAGCAGAAAACUUAAACGACUGUGAGGGAGGACAAAUGGAGAACAUAUCAAUUUGAAACUUCCAACGGAGCUUUUGUUUUUACCACAUGAGUUUCAGUCGUGGCAAUUUCUUUCUCUUGCCAUGAAAUCCAUCUAACAUUUUGAUGCCAUUUGCGAAUAUGCAGCACCCAAAAGCUCUUCCCUUCAUGAAUUCCUGUCAAUGUUGCAUCCAGGCAAGUAUAUCAAUUGCUCAAUAUUACCUUUGCAAAAUAACCGAUUAUUAGGUAUUCAAAAGUCCGUCCAUUAUAGUCAUUGUAGUGUUAGAAUUUGAUUUAUUAUUCUUUGUACAGUAGCAUUAAAACCAAAUAUAGUUUCCCAUAAUUUGUAAUAAUGGA
Molecule: RNA transcript, 2282 nt
Organism: Morus notabilis
Lineage: Eukaryota; Viridiplantae; Streptophyta; Magnoliopsida; Rosales; Moraceae
Gene name: probable aminotransferase ACS12
Exons: 5
Source: RefSeq, a predicted model, not a curated record